RNAcentral lists this ribosomal RNA (479 nucleotides) under uncultured bacterium. RNAcentral describes it as "partial 16S ribosomal RNA". It matches the Rfam family "Bacterial small subunit ribosomal RNA", at positions 28 to 507 of the family's 1533-position model. The record is from RNAcentral.
GAUGAACGCUAGCGGGAGGCCUAACACAUGCAAGCCGAGCGGUAGAGAUCCUUCGGUAUCUUGAGAGCGGCGUACGGGCGCGGAACACGUGUGCAACUUGCCUUUAUCAGGGGGAUAGCCUUUCGAAAGGAAGAUUAAUACCCCAUAAUAUAUUUGAUGGCAUCAUUAGAUAUUGAAAGCUUUGUCGGAUAGAGAUGGGCACGCGCAAGAUUAGAUAGUUGGUGAGGUAACGGCUGACUAAGUCGAUGAUCUUUAGGUGGCCUGAGAGGGUGAUCCCCCACACGGGUACUGAGACAAGGACCAGACUCCUACGGGAGGCAGCAGUGAGGAAUGUUGGACAAGGGGUUAGCGCCUGAUCCAGCCAACCCGCGUGAAGGACGACGGCCCUAUGGGUUGUAAACUUCUUUUGUACAGGGAUAAACCUACUCUCGGGAGAGUAGCUGAAGGUACUGUACGAAUAAGCACCGGCUAACUCCGUG